This 910-nucleotide ribosomal RNA is filed under the name uncultured bacterium. RNAcentral's name for it is "bacterial SSU rRNA". It matches the Rfam family "Bacterial small subunit ribosomal RNA", at positions 33 to 948 of the family's 1533-position model. The record is from RNAcentral.
ACGCUGGCGGCGUGCUUAACACAUGCAAGUCGAACGAUGAAGCCUAGCUUGCUAGGUGGAUUAGUGGCGAACGGGUGAGUAAUACGUGAGUAACCUACCUUUAACUCUGGGAUAAGCCCGGGAAACUGGGUCUAAUACCGGAUACGACCAAUCUCCGCAUGGGGUGUUGGUGGAAAGCGUUAUGUAGUGGUUAUAGAUGGGCUCACGGCCUAUCAGCUUGUUGGUGAGGUAACGGCUCACCAAGGCGACGACGGGUAGCCGGCCUGAGAGGGUGACCGGCCACACUGGGACUGAGACACGGCCCAGACUCCUACGGGAGGCAGCAGUGGGGAAUAUUGCACAAUGGGCGCAAGCCUGAUGCAGCGACGCCGCGUGAGGGAUGACGGCCUUCGGGUUGUAAACCUCUGUUAGCAGGGAAGAAGAGAGAUUGACGGUACCUGCAGAGAAAGCGCCGGCUAACUACGUGCCAGCAGCCGCGGUAAUACGUAGGGCGCGAGCGUUGUCCGGAAUUAUUGGGCGUAAAGAGCUUGUAGGCGGUUUGUCGCGUCUGCUGUGAAAGGCCGGAGCUUAACUCCGUGUAUUGCAGUGGGCACGGGCAGACUAGAGUGCAGUAGGGGAGACUGGAAUUCCUGGUGUAGCGGUGGAAUGCGCAGAUAUCAGGAGGAACACCGAUGGCGAAGGCAGGUCUCUGGGCUGUAACUGACGCUGAGAAGCGAAAGCAUGGGGAGCGAACAGGAUUAGAUACCCUGGUAGUCCAUGCCGUAAACGUUGGGCACUAGGUGUGGGGGACAUUCCACGUUUUCCGCGCCGUAGCUAACGCAUUAAGUGCCCCGCCUGGGGAGUACGGCCGCAAGGCUAAAACUCAAAGAAAUUGACGGGGGCCCGCACAAGCGGCGGAGCAUGCGGAUUA